GGAGUUAGCCGGUGCUUCUUCUGUGAGUGAUGUCCUUCUUGCCGGUUAUUGACCCGCAGGCCUUCUUCCUCACUGAAAGUGCUUUACAACCCGAAGGCCUUCUUCACACACGCGGCAUGGCUGGAUCAGGGUUGCCCCCAUUGUCCAAUAUUCCCCACUGCUGCCUCCCGUAGGAGUCUGGGCCGUGUCUCAGUCCCAGUGUGGCUGAUCAUCCUCUCAGACCAGCUACGGAUCGUCGCCUUGGUGAGCCGUUACCUCACCAACCAGCUAAUCCGACAUAGGCUCAUCCGAUAGCGCGAGGCCCGAAGGUCCCCCGCUUUCCCCCGUAGGGCGUAUGCGGUAUUAGCCUGGGUUUCCCCAGGUUAUCCCCCACUACCGGGCAGAUUCCUAUGCAUUACUCACCCGUCCGCCGCUCGCCACCAGGGAGCAAGCUCCCCGUGCUGCCGCUCGACUUGCAUGUGUUAGGCCUGCCGCCAGCGUUCAAUCUGAGCCAUGAUCAAACUCUGA
RNAcentral lists this ribosomal RNA (507 nucleotides) under uncultured bacterium. Its description in RNAcentral is "partial 16S ribosomal RNA". The record is from RNAcentral.